CUGAUGGCGGCGUUUGGGUGGAAAUCGGAAUCGAUCGCCCAAUUCCCCUCCGCACCGGAGGCAGGUACUCGGUGGGGCAGCGCCUUAACGUCAG
The submitters of this non-coding RNA (94 nucleotides) gave its source as unclassified sequences. The record is from Rfam.